UGUGAUAUGGGUCUUUUCUCAUCGACGCCUCUUUUUCCUUCCCUCUCUUAGGCAAACCUUUUAGAGAAGUCAGCUGAGCAAAUAUGUACAGGUGAAUUCAAAGCAAAAGCCUCACAAAGUUGAUUUGCCUUAGAGCAAAGGACAGUUCCUUUCUUCAAUUCUAAUUAGAGGUGUUGGGUUUUUAAUUAAAUAUAUUACUGCUGUACUUAGAGGAGUUCUUAAACCUCCAAGUAAAAUCAAAAACCUCUUUAAAAUCAAAAUUUCUGUCUUGAUUUAUUUAUUUAUUAUUUUUUUUUUGAGAUGGAGUUUUGCUCUUGUUGUCCAGGCUGGAGUGCAAUGGCACGAUCUCCGCUCACCGCAACCUCCGCCUCCCAGGUUCAAAUGAUUCUCCUGCCUCAGCCUCCUGAGUAGCUGGGAAUACAGACGGGGUUUUGCCGUGUUGGUCAGGCU
This 450-nucleotide long non-coding RNA is filed under the name Homo sapiens (human). RNAcentral's name for it is "HSALNT0295689". Lineage: Eukaryota; Metazoa; Chordata; Mammalia; Primates; Hominidae. The record is from RNAcentral.